RNA transcript from Scylla paramamosain (green mud crab), 981 nucleotides. RefSeq lists it as uncharacterized. NCBI's taxonomy places the organism in Eukaryota, Metazoa, Arthropoda, Malacostraca, Decapoda, Portunidae. The record is from RefSeq and is a predicted model, not a curated record. The transcript is spliced from 6 exons.
GCAGGCAUGACGUCUCGGGCUCAGUCAAGCGAAGACCAGUGGAAGAAGUGGAGGAGGAAUAGUGGGAUUAGGUAUUCUGGCUGGUGUGCUGUGUCGCAGUUACAUCUCCAGUGUGGUGGUGUGGACAAACACAGACCACAGUGUGUUCGAAGCGUCACCACCGCUAUGAUCAUCUCCUCAAUCUUCCCUGUGGUGUGGAGAGUCAGGGAUCCAACUUACCGUCAGGACUCUCGAGGUACAGGUCUUUAUCACAGGAGUACAACAACAACAACAACAACAACAACAAUAAUAACAACAACAGCAACGCUGCUGCUGUUGCCGCCUUCAUCGUAGAAGAGGUUCUUUUACAAACCAUGCAAAACCUUCGGUUCAAGAAUGCGGCGCCAAGAUAUGACUGCUCCGUAUACAGCUGCUGUGGCUUUCCUUUCCUACACUUUCUCCUCUCGGUGCAUCGUUUACGGAAUAUCAUCAUCAGCAGCAGCUUAAAUGCGUCUACCAAGAUCAGAACGCUUGUCACCACUGAGAGGUGGCGCUUGGGGUACUUUAACUGCUGGGUACACUGGUCUGCCAUCGCCAAGGUGUCCACUAGAUGCCGUAAAUGGUGUCCUUCCUGAUGAUGUCUUUAUAUCCUCCUCGUCUGGGCGGGAGUUAUGGGACAUACGGGUCAGGGCGUCCUCGUAUCACUCCAGCAGCGUUACUCCAUGGACACAACGGCGAGGGUUUCCUGCAGCCAACACUCAGGAAUGCGCCUCCACGUGCAAGGCAAACGCUACGCCACUUAUCAGCCUCCUUUUAUUGUCAUCUAUUUAUAGCCUCCCUCGUUAUGCCAAGUUGAUCGCCUGCAGUCUGUUUAUUUGUGUGUUUGUGUAUUUAUUUUUGCUUUUUGCAUGUCACUUUCUUUGGUAGUGAUCUAUUUUCAUUUAUCUAUUAAUCUUUUUAUUUCCAGCUUCAUGUCCAUUAAAUUCUGUAUGCAUUUAUUUA